This 350-nucleotide long non-coding RNA is filed under the name Musa acuminata (dwarf banana). RNAcentral describes it as "long non-coding RNA (MACU_LNC002707)". The record is from RNAcentral. Lineage: Eukaryota; Viridiplantae; Streptophyta; Magnoliopsida; Zingiberales; Musaceae.
GUGUUUUAGACGUAAACUACUUUUAAACGUAAAACUACGUUUAGACGUAAAACUGCGUUUAGACGCAAACUGCGUUUAGACGUAAAACUACGUUUAGACGUAAAACUACGUUUAGACGCAAACUGCGUUUAGACGUAAAACUACGUUUAGACGUAAAACUGCGUUUAGACGUAAACUGCACUGCGCUUAGACGCAAUCUGAUUUUAGACGUAAACUGCGCUUAGACGCAAACUGCGCUUAAACGCAAUCUGCGCUUAGACGCAAACUGCGCUUAGACGCAAACUGCGCUUAGACGCAAUCUGAGUUUAGACGUAAACUGCGCUUAGACGCAAACUGCGCUUAAACGCAAU